RNA transcript from Macadamia integrifolia, 1950 nucleotides. It is a transcript of the gene named selenium-binding protein 2-like, with no coding region annotated. The record is from RefSeq and is a predicted model, not a curated record. Lineage: Eukaryota; Viridiplantae; Streptophyta; Magnoliopsida; Proteales; Proteaceae. The transcript is spliced from 8 exons.
GAGAGAGAGAGAGAGAGAGAGAGAGAGAGAGAGUCCGGAUUCAUUCUCAGGUGCCGGAGUUCCGUCGUAGCUUCUGCCAUUUCUAAGAUAUCUUCGUUUUCUCUUAAGUUUCCUAUCAGGAAGUGCUAAUGGGGACUGUUGCAGUUGAUGUGAAGGUUUCCGAUCAGGUUAAUGGAGGCUUGAAACAUGGUUGUUGCGGCAAGGGACCUGGAUAUGCAUCUCCGAUCGAAGCUAUGUCUGGUCCUAGAGAAACUAUUCUGUAUGUUACUUGUAUUUAUUCAGGGACAGGAAGAGAGAAGCCUGAUUACUUGGGGACAGUGGAUGUAGAUCCAAACUCACCUACUUAUUCAAAAGUUAUCCAUAGGCUGCCUGUGCCUUACUUGCAUGAUGAGCUACAUCAUUCUGGAUGGAAUGCCUGCAGUUCUUGCCAUGGAGAUCCAACAGCAAACCGUCGUUUUCUGGUCCUACCAUCAUUGCUUUCAGGUCGCAUAUAUGCAAUUGACACGAAGAAUCCAAGGGCUCCAGCUUUGCAUAAAGUUGUUGAACCUGAAGAUAUUGUGGCAAAGACUGGAUUAGCAUAUCCCCACACUUCUCACUGCCUUGGAUCUGGUGAUAUCAUGGUGUCUUGCCUUGGAGAUAAAGAUGGAAAUGCUGAGGGAAGUGGAUUUCUUCUUCUUGAUUCUGACUUCAAUGUGAAGGGAAGGUGGGAGAAAACAGGCCAUAGUCCACUCUUUGGCUACGAUUUUUGGUACCAACCAAGGCACAAAACUAUGAUAAGCACUUCCUGGGGAGCUCCAGCUGCUUUCACAAAAGGAUUCAAUCUUCAGCAUGUUUCGGAUGGUCUGUAUGGAAGACAUUUACAUGUAUACAGCUGGCCUGAUGGUGAACUAAAACAAACUUUGGAUCUUGGCAAUGCAGGACUGCUACCUUUGGAGAUCAGGUUUUUGCAUGAUCCUUCGAAGGCUACAGGUUUUGUAGGGUGUGCUUUAACAAGUAACAUUGUGAGAUUUUUCAAGACUGCAGAUGGAUCAUGGGAUCAUGAGAUUGUAAUUUCUGUGGAACCAUUGAAGGUGAAGAACUGGAUUCUUCCAGAAAUGCCUGGGCUUAUAACCGAUUUUUUGAUAUCUCUUGAUGAUCGUUACCUCUACUUUGUGAACUGGCUUCAUGGAGAUGUCAGACAAUAUAACAUUGAGGAUCCUAAGAAACCUGUAUUGACAGGCCAAGUGUGGGCUGGGGGACUAAUUCAAAAGGGAAGCUCUGUAGUGGCUGUGGCAGAAGAUGAGACAGAGCGGCAAUUUGAUGUCAAAGAAAUUCAGGGUCAUCGUCUGAGGGGAGGGCCUCAGAUGAUCCAACUAAGUUUAGAUGGAAAGCGGCUCUAUGUUACAAACUCACUCUUCAGUGCGUGGGAUCGCCAGUUCUACCCAGAUCUUAAGGAGAAAGGGUCGCACAUGUUACAGAUCGACGUUGACAAUGAGAAAGGAGGCCUGGCAUUAAACCCAAAUUUCUUCGUGGACUUUGGGUCUGAGCCUGAAGGACCUUCUUUGGCACAUGAGAUGAGGUAUCCAGGAGGUGAUUGCACUUCAGAUAUAUGGGAAUGAGGAUUUUAGAAGCUGUUCAGAGGAAUGGAGUAAUUUUAACUUUCAACACACUUACACGUGGGAUUCCCUUGUGGCUUAGUAACUUGAAGGGCAUGAUCAUCAACACUAAAGAGAUUUCUCUGGAGUUCCAUGGAGGACUCAGAAUCACUUGGUUUUCUUUAGCUUUCUGGAAGUCGAUGUCAAAGAUGACAGAUCCAAGGAAAAAUUCAAUUUGGGUGAGAGGGAAAAGGUAGAAAGGAUGAUGACAUUUACACUGCCCACAUUUUGGAUAGAGUGGGUAAACCCUGGUCCAUCUUCACCCAUGUAAGACACUCCAUAUGGAAUGGGAAAGAAAAUUGGUUCAUUGCGCGUA